This 515-nucleotide long non-coding RNA is filed under the name Homo sapiens (human). Its description in RNAcentral is "HSALNT0028742". The record is from RNAcentral. Lineage: Eukaryota; Metazoa; Chordata; Mammalia; Primates; Hominidae.
GCUGACAGCACAACAAUCUCAGAGAGUUUUGGCCUCAGCCGUUUGACUCUAAUCAGGAAAUCAUUUUUAGAAAGAUUUGUCAGUGUAAGAAAACAAGCUCCUGAACUAAAUUAGGAUCUGGAUUAUUUUUCCCUCCUCUCUCGAUCUGCAGUGCAAGGCAGAGUGGUGAGCCAUCACGGUUUUGUGUGUGGUGAAUUUGUUUCCACUGCACAUUUUAAUUCGGAGCUCCUGAAGGUGUCUGUGUUUGUAAGGACUGUGUUUUUGGAGCUGCUCCCUCGGAGUAAUGAAUUCACGGCAUGUCUCUGGGAAAUUAAGGUUUCUUUUCUGGGAGCUGCUAUCACUGAAUACAUAAAGAAAUUGAGCCUAUAUGAUUUCAAUCUUCACCUUCUGAUGCUGAUGAAACAGGAUUCUAUGCAGUUUACAGGGGGCCUGGAGGAAUGAAUCAGUGGCAGUGAGUGACAGAGUGGUCUCAGCAGGAAGAGGUGGAGGCAACGCUGGGAUUUGGAAAUGCCUCU